Regulatory RNA element from Roseivivax isoporae LMG 25204, 56 nucleotides. It matches the Rfam family "terC RNA". Lineage: Bacteria; Pseudomonadati; Pseudomonadota; Alphaproteobacteria; Rhodobacterales; Roseobacteraceae. The record is from Rfam.
CGCGCGGCCCGGGCCCCUCUGACGAUGGAUGACCUUCGUGAUGUCGGACCGCACCU